This 553-nucleotide ribosomal RNA is filed under the name uncultured Nitrososphaerota archaeon. RNAcentral describes it as "bacterial SSU rRNA". It matches the Rfam family "Archaeal small subunit ribosomal RNA", at positions 325 to 879 of the family's 1478-position model. The record is from RNAcentral. Lineage: Archaea; Thermoproteati; Nitrososphaerota.
ACGGGGUGCAGCAGGCGCGAAACCUUUGCAAUGUGCGAAAGCACGACAAGGUUAAUCCGAGUGUCUCCUGCUAAAGGAGUCUUUUGUCAGUUGUAGAAUCACUGAUGAAUAAGGGGUGGGCAAGUUCUGGUGUCAGCCGCCGCGGUAAAACCAGCACCUCGAGUGGUCAGGAGGUUUAUUGGGCCUAAAGCAUCCGUAGCCGGUUGCAUAAGUUUUCGGUUAAAUCUAUGCGCUCAACGUAUAGGCCGCCGAAAAUACUGUGCAGCUAGGGAGUGGGAGAGGUACACGGUACUCAAUAGGAAGGGGUAAAAUCCUUUGAUCUAUUGAUGACCACCUGUGGCGAAGGCGGUGUACCAGAACACGUUCGACGGUGAGGGAUGAAAGCUGGGGGAGCAAACCGGAUUAGAUACCCGGGUAGUCCCAGCUGUAAACGAUGCAGACUCGGAGAUGCAUUGGCUUGUGGCCAAUGCAGUGCCGCAGGGAAGCCGUUAAGUCUGCCGCCUGGGAAGUACGUACGCAAGUAUGAAACUUAAAGGAAUUGGCGGGGGAGCAC